UCCGUAGGGUGCGAGCGUUAAUCGGAAUUACUGGGCGUAAAGCGUGCGCAGGCGGUUAUGUAAGACAGAGGUGAAAUCCCCGGGCUCAACCUGGGAACUGCCUUUGUGACUGCAUGACUAGAGUACGGCAGAGGGGGAUGGAAUUCCGCGUGUAGCAGUGAAAUGCGUAGAUAUGCGGAGGAACACCGAUGGCGAAGGCAAUCCCCUGGGCCUGUACUGACGCUCAUGCACGAAAGCGUGGGGAGAAAACCGG
RNAcentral lists this ribosomal RNA (253 nucleotides) under uncultured bacterium. RNAcentral's name for it is "partial 16S ribosomal RNA". It matches the Rfam family "Bacterial small subunit ribosomal RNA", at positions 524 to 776 of the family's 1533-position model. The record is from RNAcentral.